Molecule: non-coding RNA, 70 nt
Filed under: Schistosoma mansoni
Lineage: Eukaryota; Metazoa; Platyhelminthes; Trematoda; Strigeidida; Schistosomatidae
Source: RNAcentral
GUAAUAACUCCGCCUGUAGCUAUUCUAGAGUUACUGCCGGUCCCAAACCCAGAUAAAGGAGGAGGGUUGG